Molecule: ribosomal RNA, 441 nt
Filed under: uncultured bacterium
Lineage: Bacteria
Description: bacterial SSU rRNA
Rfam family: Bacterial small subunit ribosomal RNA
Source: RNAcentral
CUACGGGAGGCAGCAGUGGGGAAUCUUGCGCAAUGGGCGAAAGCCUGACGCAGCAACGCCGCGUGCGGGAAGAAGGCUCUCGGGUUGUAAACCGCUUUCAGCAGGAACGAAAAUGACGGUACUUGCAGAAGAAGGUGCGGCCAACUACGUGCCAGCAGCCGCGGUGACACGUAGGCACCAAGCGUUGUCCGGAUUUAUUGGGCGUAAAGAGCUCGUAGGCGGUUCGGUAAGUCGGGUGUGAAAACUUUGGGCUUAACCCAAAGCCUGCAUCCGAUACUGCUGUGACUAGAGUUCGGUAGGGGAGUGGGGAAUUCCUAGUGUAGCGGUGAAAUGCGCAGAUAUUAGGAGGAACACCGGUGGCGAAGGCGCCACUCUGGGCCGAUACUGACGCUGAGGAGCGAAAGCGUGGGUAGCAAACAGGAUUAGAUACCCUGGUAGUCC